GGGUGUAAGGACAAUCUGGCUGCCCUAUCUGUCACUCCAGUGAUGGAUUUGACUGAUCUGGCUUAGGUGUGUGUUGCCUUCCUCCCUCACUGCUCCACAUCUGUCCAUCCUAAAGCUAUGUGCUUGGUUAAAGAUGACCUUUUGUGAAUAGAGGAAGAACCGUCUCAGGUCAAGGGUAUCCAGGUAGCUGCAGUCUCCUGCUAGAGCCUCCAAACAAGCUCUCAGGAAGGAACUCAUGUCGGGCUUGCAUGGUACCCCUUGGGUAGAGCACAGAAAGCCUAAAAAAUAAGGCCAACCAAGAGUGAAAAGAGACACAGCUCUGAGUGACUCUUCUCCACCUU
This is an unclassified non-coding RNA of Mesocricetus auratus (golden hamster), 341 nucleotides long. Its record names the gene 7SK. It matches the Rfam family "7SK RNA". From Rfam's summary of the family: 7SK was discovered as an abundant small nuclear RNA in the mid-70s but a possible function has only recently been suggested. Two independent studies have found that 7SK RNA binds the CDK9/cyclin T complex (known as elongation factor P-TEFb). The record is from Ensembl. Lineage: Eukaryota; Metazoa; Chordata; Mammalia; Rodentia; Cricetidae.